Phragmites australis (common reed) is the source of this 1167-nucleotide RNA transcript. It is a transcript of the gene named myb-related protein Zm38-like, with no coding region annotated. The transcript is spliced from 3 exons. Lineage: Eukaryota; Viridiplantae; Streptophyta; Magnoliopsida; Poales; Poaceae. The record is from RefSeq and is a predicted model, not a curated record.
UCUCCUCAUACCCACUCGGUCAAAUGUCUCUUAGUGAUCCGGGUCAGUGGGCCUCCUUUCUCUCUCCUCCCUGUAUAAACAUCUCCACUCCCUCUCUUCUCACAACACUCAUCACCAGGUACUCGGUGCUGCGAUAAUUGCAUCGUCUAACAUGGGGAGGUCGCCGUGCUGCGAGAAAGCGCACACGAACAAGGGCGCCUGGACCAAGGAGGAGGACCAGCGGCUCGUCGCCUACAUCAAGGCCCACGGCGAAGGGUGCUGGAGGUCGCUCCCCAAAGCGGCGGGGCUGCUUCGGUGCGGAAAGAGCUGCCGGCUGCGGUGGAUCAACUACCUCCGGCCGGACAUCAAGCGCGGCAACUUCACCGACGAAGAGGACGACCUCAUCAUCAACCUUCACCAGCUUCUCGGAAACAAGUGGUCUCUGAUCGCCGGAAGGUUGCCGGGGCGGACGGACAACGAGAUCAAGAACUACUGGAACACGCACAUCAAGCGCAAGCUCGUCGCCCGCGGCCUCGACCCGCAGACGCACCGUCCGCUCUGUGUCGCCGCCGCCCCAGCGCCAAGUAGCCAUCACCAGGACCACCUGGCUGCGCGGUCAAGCUGCUCGCCGGAGACCAGCGGCGCAGGCCACAGCAGCGACGACGACAGCGUUUUCGCGCUGCACCUUGGUGGCAUCGACCUCAACCUGUCCUUAAGCCCGCCGAGCCACCCGUCAUCGCCGCCACCGACAACGAGGCAAGAAGCAGAAGAAACAAGCGACGAGAUUAUACCUAAAUUAAGAGAGUCCGAGCUACUCGUAGAAAGAGAGGUUAUGCUUGUGCUCGAACCGCCUGGCUUACAACGCGCCGAGGGAUGAAGCUGCAGCUAUAUAUGGCUAGAUCUUCUUCUUCCAUGCAGCCGAUCGACGAGCUCAGGAGAUCAUGAGGAAGUCGAUUUCCUCCAUGUUCUCUUAAUUUUUGUAACGCUUCUGCAUCAUCCUCUUGGCGUUUGGCAAAAAGCAGAAGCUCUUGUCGAGUCCCAUAUAAUAACAAAAUAUUUGUACAUAACAACAUACUCCCACAAAUCCAAAAUGUAAGUCGAUUGAGCCAUCCUCACUCUAUGCCAAUGUAAGGGCCUGUUUUUUUAGAGCUCUCCCUCAUUUAACUUUUUUUUGGAGAAGUGAUUAGG